GAUCUUGGCCUAAUGGUUAAGGCACCCAAGUAGUAUUUUUGAGGUCCUGGGUUCGACUCCCCGUAGGAGCG
Molecule: non-coding RNA, 71 nt
Organism: Eragrostis curvula (weeping love grass)
Lineage: Eukaryota; Viridiplantae; Streptophyta; Magnoliopsida; Poales; Poaceae
Source: the annotation of a GenBank genome assembly